Molecule: ribosomal RNA, 298 nt
Filed under: uncultured bacterium
Lineage: Bacteria
Description: partial 16S ribosomal RNA
Rfam family: Bacterial small subunit ribosomal RNA
Source: RNAcentral
GACGAACGCUGGCGGCGUGCUUAACACAUGCAAGUCGAGCGGUAAGGCCCUUUCGGGGGUACACGAGCGGCGAACGGGUGAGUAACACGUGGGUGACCUGCCCUCAGCUCUGGGAUAAGCCUGGGAAACCGGGUCUAAUACUGGAUAUGACUCCAUGACGCAUGUUGUGGGGUGGAAAGCCUUGUGCGGCUGAGGAUCGGGCCCGCGGCCUAUCAGCUUGUUGGGUGGGGUGANGGCCUACCAAGGCGACGACGGGUAGCCGGCCUGAGAGGGCGACCGGCCACACUGGGACUGAGAC